RNAcentral lists this long non-coding RNA (283 nucleotides) under Oryza brachyantha (malo sina). RNAcentral's name for it is "long non-coding RNA (OBRA_LNC000632)". The record is from RNAcentral. Lineage: Eukaryota; Viridiplantae; Streptophyta; Magnoliopsida; Poales; Poaceae.
GUAUAGUAGGAUCCUAUAUCAUGAUCUGGUGGAACAAUGGGAAAUAUCAUAAUAGAAAUGUAGAGUGGGCACUUAUCUUUGAGCAAUAACCAGCAGUCACUAUGCAAGUUGAUUUUAACGAACUACAGUUUCUGGGAAAAAAGUAGAAAGUUAACACAAUAUGUCUAAUGUAUAUUGAGCUGAAUUAGAAAGCUUACAUUACAUGUAUCCAUUAGCCCAAGGAAGAAACAAGCUAGACAACUGAUAAACAGUUGCUAUUUGAUAAGUACAUUCUUCAAGUUGC